This is a long non-coding RNA of Papaver somniferum (opium poppy), 529 nucleotides long. RefSeq lists it as uncharacterized. The transcript is spliced from 3 exons. Lineage: Eukaryota; Viridiplantae; Streptophyta; Magnoliopsida; Ranunculales; Papaveraceae. The record is from RefSeq and is a predicted model, not a curated record.
UUCUCUUUCCUUCUCAUUCUUCUUCUUCUUCUUCUUCUUCUUCUUCUUCUUCUUCUCAGUCUUUCCUCUUCUCCUCUCUGUCGAAUUCUUUUCAAGGAUUUGAGGUGAGUUCAUAUGAAUGAUUCACAAGAGCUUAGUAUCAUGUUGAACUGAAGAAGAAGGUGAUGUUGUUGCUGCUGUCGAUUGAGUUCUGGAAAAGCAGAGUUUUGUUAGUCAUUAUUAACAACGAUCGAUUCAAAGAAUGAACCAGUGGAUUGAGAAUCUUGAGGUAGGCGAGGCUUGUCUUCAGAACAGUUUUUCAGUUAUCAGAAGAUAUGGUGCACGCGAAGAUACUCGUUUCCGUCAAAUUAUUGAUUGUAGAGUUGUUGCGAAUUAUUUUAGGUUUGUACAUUAUUUUUGUAAUCACAAACACACUAUUUAAUUUAUAUAGCUUGAGAGAUUUUUCAUUUAUAAUUGUUUGAGUGAUGGGUUUAGUUUCGGGUUAAGUUUUGUAUAAGAUUUUAUAUAUGGAAGUUAAUAUGAUUGAGAU